ACGCCGCGUGAGGGAUGACGGCCUUCGGGUUGUAAACCUCUUUCAGCACAGACGAAGCGCAAGUGACGGUAUGUGCAGAAGAAGGACCGGCCAACUACGUGCCAGCAGCCGCGGUAAUACGUAGGGUCCGAGCGUUGUCCGGAAUUAUUGGGCGUAAAGGGCUCGUAGGCGGUCUGUCGCGUCGGGAGUGAAAACCAGGUGCUUAACACCUGGCCUGCUUUCGAUACGGGCAGACUAGAGGUACUCAGGGGAGAAUGGAAUUCCUGGUGUAGCGGUGAAAUGCGCAGAUAUCAGGAGGAACACCGGUGGCGAAGGCGGUUCUCUGGGAGUAUCCUGACGCUGAGGAGCGAAAGUGUGGGGAGCGAACAGGAUUAGAUACCCUGGUAGUCCACACCGUAAACGUUGGGCGCUAGGUGUGGGAUCCAUUCCACGGGUUCCGUGCCGCAGCUAACGCAUUAAGCGCCCCGCCUGGGGAGUACGGCCGCAAGGCUAAAACUCA
Molecule: ribosomal RNA, 499 nt
Filed under: Nocardioides luteus
Lineage: Bacteria; Bacillati; Actinomycetota; Actinomycetes; Propionibacteriales; Nocardioidaceae
Description: bacterial SSU rRNA
Rfam family: Bacterial small subunit ribosomal RNA
Source: RNAcentral